This 76-nucleotide transfer RNA is filed under the name Pseudomonas sp. T8. RNAcentral's name for it is "tRNA-Thr". It matches the Rfam family "tRNA". Rfam says of the family: Transfer RNA (tRNA) molecules are approximately 80 nucleotides in length. Their secondary structure includes four short double-helical elements and three loops (D, anti-codon, and T loops). Lineage: Bacteria; Pseudomonadati; Pseudomonadota; Gammaproteobacteria; Pseudomonadales; Pseudomonadaceae. The record is from RNAcentral.
GCCGCCAUAGCUCCAGUGGUAGAGCGGUUGCCUUGUAAGCGAACGGCCCUGGGUUCGAAUCCUCGUGGCGGCACCA